Molecule: ribosomal RNA, 45 nt
Filed under: Nectriaceae sp.
Lineage: Eukaryota; Fungi; Ascomycota; Sordariomycetes; Hypocreales; Nectriaceae
Description: partial 28S ribosomal RNA
Source: RNAcentral
GGUUGACCUCGAAUCAGGUAGGAAUACCCGCUGAACUUAAGCAUA